GGGGGUACUCGAGUGGCGAACGGGUGAGUAACACGUGGGUGAUCUGCCCUGCACUUUGGGAUAAGCCUGGGAAACUGGGUCUAAUACCGAAUACACCCUGCUGGUCGCAUGGCCUGGUAGGGGAAAGCUUUUGCGGUGUGGGAUGGGCCCGCGGCCUAUCAGCUUGUUGGUGGGGUGAUGGCCUACCAAGGCGACGACGGGUAGCCGGCCUGAGAGGGUGACCGGCCACACUGGGACUGAGAUACGGCCCAGACUCCUACGGGAGGCAGCAGUGGGGAAUAUUGCACAAUGGGCGCAAGCCUGAUGCAGCGACGCCGCGUGAGGGAUGACGGCCUUCGGGUUGUAAACCUCUUUCAGCACAGACGAAGCGCAAGUGACGGUAUGUGCAGAAGAAGGACCGGCCAACUACGUGCCAGCAGCCGCGGUAAUACGUAGGGUCCGAGCGUUGUCCGGAAUUACUGGGCGUAAAGAGCUCGUAGGUGGUUUGUCGCGUUGUUCGUGAAAACUCACAGCUUAACUGUGGGCGUGCGGGCGAUACGGGCAGACUAGAGUACUGCAGGGGAGACUGGAAUUCCUGGUGUAGCGGUGGAAUGCGCAGAUAUCAGGAGGAACACCGGUGGCGAAGGCGGGUCUCUGGGCAGUAACUGACGCUGAGGAGCGAAAGCGUGGGGAGCGAACAGGAUUAGAUACCCUGGUAGUCCACGCCGUAAACGGUGGGUACUAGGUGUGGGUUUCCUUCCUUGGGAUCCGUGCCGUAGCUAACGCAUUAAGUACCCCGCCUGGGGAGUACGGCCGCAAGGCUAAAACUCAAAGGAAUUGACGGGGGCCCGCACAAGCGGCGGAGCAUGUGGAUUAAUUCGAUGCAACGCGAAGAACCUUACCUGGGUUUGACAUGCACAGGACGCCGGCAGAGAUGUCGGUUCCCUUGUGGCCUGUGUGCAGGUGGUGCAUGGCUGUCGUCAGCUCGUGUCGUGAGAUGUUGGGUUAAGUCCCGCAACGAGCGCAACCCUUGUCUCAUGUUGCCAGCACGUUAUGGUGGGGACUCGUGAGAGACUGCCGGGGUCAACUCGGAGGAAGGUGGGGAUGACGUCAAGUCAUCAUGCCCCUUAUGUCCAGGGCUUCACACAUGCUACAAUGGCCGGUACAAAGGGCUGCGAUGCCGUGAGGUGGAGCGAAUCCUUUCAAAGCCGGUCUCAGUUCGGAUCGGGGUCUGCAACUCGACCCCGUGAAGUCGGAGUCGCUAGUAAUCGCAGAUCAGCAACGCUGCGGUGAAUACGUUCCCGGGCCUUGUACACACCGCCCGUCACGUCAUGAAAGUCGGUAACACCCGAAGCCG
Molecule: ribosomal RNA, 1336 nt
Filed under: Mycolicibacterium smegmatis
Lineage: Bacteria; Bacillati; Actinomycetota; Actinomycetes; Mycobacteriales; Mycobacteriaceae
Description: bacterial SSU rRNA
Rfam family: Bacterial small subunit ribosomal RNA
Source: RNAcentral